Molecule: ribosomal RNA, 460 nt
Filed under: uncultured bacterium
Lineage: Bacteria
Description: partial 16S ribosomal RNA
Rfam family: Bacterial small subunit ribosomal RNA
Source: RNAcentral
CCUACGGGUGGCAGCAGUGAGGAAUAUUGGGCAAUGGACGAGAGUCUGAACCAGCCAAGUAGCGUGAAGGAUGACUGCCCUAUGGGUUGUAAACUUCUUUUAUAAAGGAAUAAAACGAGGCACGUAUGCCUUUUUGCAUGUACUUUAUGAAUAAGGAUCGGCUAACUCCGUGCCAGCAGCCGCGGUAAUACGGAGGAUCCGAGCGUUGUCCGGAUUGAUUGGGUUUAAAGGGAGCGUAGAUGGGUUGUUAAGUCAGUUGUGAAUGUUUGCGGCUCAACCGUAAAAUUGCAAUUGAUACUGGCAGUCUUGAGUACAGUUGAGGUAGGCGGAAUUCGUGGUGUAGCGGUGAAAUGCUUAGAUAUCACGAAGAACCCCGAUUGCGAAGGCAGCUUACUAAACUGUGACUGACAUUGAUGUUCGAAAGUGUGGGUAUCAAACAGGAUUAGAUACCCCGGUAGUC